GAGUUUGAUCCUGGCUCAGAUUGAACGCUGGCGGCAUGCCUUACACAUGCAAGUCGAACGGCAGCAUGAUCUAGCUUGCUAGAUUGAUGGCGAGUGGCGAACGGGUGAGUAAUACAUCGGAACGUGCCCUGUAGUGGGGGAUAACUAGUCGAAAGAUUAGCUAAUACCGCAUACGACCUGAGGGUGAAAGUGGGGGACCGCAAGGCCUCAUGCUAUAGGAGCGGCCGAUGUCUGAUUAGCUAGUUGGUGGGGUAAAGGCCCACCAAGGCGACGAUCAGUAGCUGGUCUGAGAGGACGAUCAGCCACACUGGGACUGAGACACGGCCCAGACUCCUACGGGAGGCAGCAGUGGGGAAUUUUGGACAAUGGGCGUAAGCCUGAUCCAGCAAUGCCACGUGUGUGAAGAAGGCCUUCGGGUUGUAAAGCACUUUUGUCCGGAAAGAAAUGGCUCUGGUUAAUACCUGGGGUCGAUGACGGUACCGGAAGAAUAAGGACCGGCUAACUACGUGCCAGCAGCCGCGGUAAUACGUAGGGUCCAAGCGUUAAUCGGAAUUACUGGGCGUAA
This 565-nucleotide ribosomal RNA is filed under the name Ralstonia sp. 67. Its description in RNAcentral is "bacterial SSU rRNA". It matches the Rfam family "Bacterial small subunit ribosomal RNA", at positions 9 to 563 of the family's 1533-position model. The record is from RNAcentral. Lineage: Bacteria; Pseudomonadati; Pseudomonadota; Betaproteobacteria; Burkholderiales; Burkholderiaceae.